Molecule: ribosomal RNA, 400 nt
Filed under: uncultured bacterium
Lineage: Bacteria
Description: bacterial SSU rRNA
Rfam family: Bacterial small subunit ribosomal RNA
Source: RNAcentral
CGAAGGCUUCGGCCUUAGUGGCGCACGGGUGAGUAACGCGUGGGAAUCUGCCUAUCAGUGGGGAAUAACGACGGGAAACUGUCGCUAAUACCGCAUACGCCCUUCGGGGGAAAGAUUUAUCGCUGAUAGAUGAGCCCGCGUACGAUUAGCUAGUUGGUGAGGUAAUGGCUCACCAAGGCAACGAUCGUUAGCUGGUCUGAGAGGAUGAUCAGCCACACUGGGACUGAGACACGGCCCAGACUCCUACGGGAGGCAGCAGUGGGGAAUAUUGGACAAUGGGCGAAAGCCUGAUCCAGCAAUGCCGCGUGAGUGAUGAAGGCCUUAGGGUUGUAAAGCUCUUUCGGGUGGGACGAUGAUGACGGUACCACCAGAAGAAGCCCCGGCUAACUCUGUGUCCGUG